GACGAACGCUGGCGGCGUGCCUAAUACAUGCAAGUAGAACGCACAGUUUAUACCGUAGCUUGCUACACCAUAGACUGUGAGUUGCGAACGGGUGAGUAACGCGUAGGUAACCUGCCUGGUAGCGGGGGAUAACUAUUGGAAACGAUAGCUAAUACCGCAUAAUAUUAAUUAUUGCAUGAUAAUUAAUUGAAAGGUGCAAUUGCACCACUACCAGAUGGACCUGCGUUGUAUUAGCUAGUAGGUGAGGUAACGGCUCACCUAGGCGACGAUACAUAGCCGAUCUGAGAGGGUGAUCGGCCACACUGGGACUGAGACACGGCCCAGACUCCUACGGGAGGCAGCAGUAGGGAAUCUUCGGCAAUGGACGAAAGUCUGACCGAGCAACGCCGCGUGAGUGAAGAAGGUUUUCGGAUCGUAAAGCUCUGUUGUAAGAGAAGAACGGGUGUGAGAGUGGAAAGUUCACACUGUGACGGUAUCUUACCAGAAAGGGACGGCUAACUACGUG
This 505-nucleotide ribosomal RNA is filed under the name uncultured bacterium. RNAcentral's name for it is "partial 16S ribosomal RNA". It matches the Rfam family "Bacterial small subunit ribosomal RNA", at positions 28 to 507 of the family's 1533-position model. The record is from RNAcentral.